Molecule: ribosomal RNA, 468 nt
Filed under: uncultured bacterium
Lineage: Bacteria
Description: partial 16S ribosomal RNA
Rfam family: Bacterial small subunit ribosomal RNA
Source: RNAcentral
GACGAACGCUGGCGGCGUGCUUAACACAUGCAAGUCGAACGGAAAGGCCCUUCUUUUGUGGGGUGCUCGAGUGGCGAACGGGUGAGUAACACGUGAGUAAUCUGCCCUUGACUUUGGGAUAACUUCAGGAAACUGGGGCUAAUACCGGAUAGGAGCUCCUGCUGCAUGGUGGGGGUUGGAAAGUUUCGGCGGUUGGGGAUGGACUCGCGGCUUAUCAGCUUGUUGGUGGGGUUGUGGCUUACCAAGGCCUUGACGGGUAGCCGGCCUGAGAGGGUGACCGGCCACAUUGGGACUGAGAUACGGCCCAGACUCCUACGGGAGGCAGCAGUGGGGAAUAUUGCACAAUGGGCGGAAGCCUGAUGCAGCAACGCCGCGUGCGGGAUGACGGCCUUCGGGUUGUAAACCGCUUUCGCCUGUGACGAAGCGUAAGUGACGGUAAUGGGUAAAGAAGCACCGGCUAACUACGUG